AUUAUAUGAAUAUAAGACAUGUUCAAUCAAACCAAAUAGGCUUUGCAAAUUAAAUGAAAACAUUAUGAGUCUUUUCUUCAUGCUGCCUAUGUCAUUUUGCCAAUAAUAAAGAUGUUGAAUAAAAUACUAGAUAUAUUCAGUAGCCAUUUAAAAAUUUAAAAUUUCCAAAUGAUUUACCUUUUUAUAAAUAGAUUUCAAUUGCAUAGAGAAUUUCAGUCAACACAAUGCACUAAAAUGACAAGCCUUAUACAUUUUUAUAUGAAGAACUCUCAUUAAUUUUAAUGAUAUUUAAGAUUACUGUGGGAUUGAACUAUAAACAUGUACAAAACAUAAAUUUUCAGAGUUAAUUUCUUUUGGGGGGAGGGCAAAGCAAAACAUACAGAAACAAUUAUUUUGACCUAUUUUGAAACUAAAAUAGAAUCUGUGAGAUUUUUAUCACAUAAAGAAAGCCAUAUGUAGCGAGGUGUAGUAAAUCUAUAUCCAGAAGCAGUCUUGGGCUAAUUAAAAAUACUAAAUUGCAUAAUCUCAAAAUUAGUGUUUGUAACAAAAUAAGCUACUCAACCUUGAAUGCAGCAUUAUGUGUGUGCAGCCAUAAUGAGCUGCUUUCCUAUGAUGCACAGUCCUUGACAUUUGUCCUAAUCCUUAGACCACCCAAAUAUAGCAAUCUGCUAUUUGAAAAAGGCACCCUACAAGUUCCCCUUUUCUCUUCUUAAGGCUAUAUUUUUUAAAGAGCCAUCAGUUAUCAGUAGACUCCACUCAUCAUGUUAAUGGUUUCUAUAAAUACUCUGACAGAUCAUCCUUCUCUAAAUUGUCUCACAAGGAAAGGAUAAGAAAUUUGUACUUAGAUAUUGUGACUAGACCCACAAGACAGCAUUCUGCCUCUGCUGAGUAUAAUGAGAAAGACAUCAAAGGCUUUGCCUAUUGGAUUCAUUCCCUAUUCAAAGAAAGGUAAGUUUAGUCUGAAAAAGAAAAAUAUCCCACCAAGAUACUGUUCCUGUUUAUUUUCUCCUUUGACAGAAUAAUGUUGUAGUCAGGGCACUAGACUUUGAAUUUCAUUUGUUGUGAAACUGCUAGUGAGACACAAGAUAUGCAUUAUAUGAACUCUGAUGCUGACAUUCAGGGUAAGGAAAUUAGACAAAGGAAUUUGAACUUUACUCCAUGGGGGAUAGGGAGUAACCAAAGAAUUUUGAGCAAGAUGGCAUGCUCAGAUCUCUGGAUAGGAAGGAAAAAAGAGGAAAGAAAGAGAGAAAGACCUAUCAGGUCUUUCUUACAUUUAUAAUAAUCCAUAUUGGUAAUGAGGGCAGACAAAGAAGUCUGGUAUGAGAGACAUUACUUAAUUAGUUAAAUGAAUCUAUGAUCUCAUUAAUGUGGUCAUUCCUUCCAGCAAUACAAAGAAAGCAUAAGGCAUAUCCAUACCUGCCCAUCCUGUCCAUUUACAAAGUUCUCUCUAUGGCACUUAAAGCUCCUUAUAAUCUAGUCUCUUCCUUUCCAAAAUCCUUGCAUUUUAUUCCCUUCCAUGAAUUCUAUGAUCUUGUUCCAUUGACUAACUUGCUGCUUUUCCAAUUUGACACUCUCCUCCCAAUCUUUCUGUAGUUGCACUGGUUCUCCCCAGGCCUGAAAUGUUUUCCCUCCUCACUUCUGCCUCUUAGGUUUCCUUAGUUUUCUUCAGAACUUGGCUCAAAUCCUAUCUUCCAGAAGAGUCUUUCCCCAGACGCUAAAGUGCUAAUGCCUUCCCCUCUACAAUUAUCUUUCAUCUAUUCUGUCCACAUCUUAUCUGUCCAUAGCUAUUUGUAUGAACUAUUUUUUGCCUUUCUUUGUAUCCUCAUCACUUAGUAGUAGUGUCCAGCACAUCAUAAACACUUGAAAAAUAUUUAUUGACUUGAUUUGUUGACUUGUAAAU
Sarcophilus harrisii (Tasmanian devil) is the source of this 1900-nucleotide long non-coding RNA. NCBI's taxonomy places the organism in Eukaryota, Metazoa, Chordata, Mammalia, Dasyuromorphia, Dasyuridae. The record is from Ensembl.